Dipodomys ordii (Ord's kangaroo rat) is the source of this 77-nucleotide non-coding RNA. Lineage: Eukaryota; Metazoa; Chordata; Mammalia; Rodentia; Heteromyidae. The record is from Rfam.
ACCACUGAGCCACCUUCCCAGCCCUGGAAAAGUUUCUUAAGAAGUCAAACAUGGGGCUGGGAAGGUGGCUCAGUGGU